Molecule: ribosomal RNA, 1409 nt
Filed under: Vibrio parahaemolyticus
Lineage: Bacteria; Pseudomonadati; Pseudomonadota; Gammaproteobacteria; Vibrionales; Vibrionaceae
Description: bacterial SSU rRNA
Rfam family: Bacterial small subunit ribosomal RNA
Source: RNAcentral
UAGGAAAUUGCCCUGAUGUGGGGGAUAACCAUUGGAAACGAUGGCUAAUACCGCAUGAUGCCUACGGGCCAAAGAGGGGGACCUUCGGGCCUCUCGCGUCAGGAUAUGCCUAGGUGGGAUUAGCUAGUUGGUGAGGUAAGGGCUCACCAAGGCGACGAUCCCUAGCUGGUCUGAGAGGAUGAUCAGCCACACUGGAACUGAGACACGGUCCAGACUCCUACGGGAGGCAGCAGUGGGGAAUAUUGCACAAUGGGCGCAAGCCUGAUGCAGCCAUGCCGCGUGUGUGAAGAAGGCCUUCGGGUUGUAAAGCACUUUCAGUCGUGAGGAAGGUAGUGUAGUUAAUAGCUGCAUUAUUUGACGUUAGCGACAGAAGAAGCACCGGCUAACUCCGUGCCAGCAGCCGCGGUAAUACGGAGGGUGCGAGCGUUAAUCGGAAUUACUGGGCGUAAAGCGCAUGCAGGUGGUUUGUUAAGUCAGAUGUGAAAGCCCGGGGCUCAACCUCGGAAUUGCAUUUGAAACUGGCAGACUAGAGUACUGUAGAGGGGGGUAGAAUUUCAGGUGUAGCGGUGAAAUGCGUAGAGAUCUGAAGGAAUACCGGUGGCGAAGGCGGCCCCCUGGACAGAUACUGACACUCAGAUGCGAAAGCGUGGGGAGCAAACAGGAUUAGAUACCCUGGUAGUCCACGCCGUAAACGAUGUCUACUUGGAGGUUGUGGCCUUGAGCCGUGGCUUUCGGAGCUAACGCGUUAAGUAGACCGCCUGGGGAGUACGGUCGCAAGAUUAAAACUCAAAUGAAUUGACGGGGGCCCGCACAAGCGGUGGAGCAUGUGGUUUAAUUCGAUGCAACGCGAAGAACCUUACCUACUCUUGACAUCCAGAGAACUUUCCAGAGAUGGAUUGGUGCCUUCGGGAACUCUGAGACAGGUGCUGCAUGGCUGUCGUCAGCUCGUGUUGUGAAAUGUUGGGUUAAGUCCCGCAACGAGCGCAACCCUUAUCCUUGUUUGCCAGCGAGUAAUGUCGGGAACUCCAGGGAGACUGCCGGUGAUAAACCGGAGGAAGGUGGGGACGACGUCAAGUCAUCAUGGCCCUUACGAGUAGGGCUACACACGUGCUACAAUGGCGCAUACAGAGGGCGGCCAACUUGCGAAAGUGAGCGAAUCCCAAAAAGUGCGUCGUAGUCCGGAUUGGAGUCUGCAACUCGACUCCAUGAAGUCGGAAUCGCUAGUAAUCGUGGAUCAGAAUGCCACGGUGAAUACGUUCCCGGGCCUUGUACACACCGCCCGUCACACCAUGGGAGUGGGCUGCAAAAGAAGUAGGUAGUUUAACCUUCGGGGGGACGCUUACCACUUUGUGGUUCAUGACUGGGGUGAAGUCGUAACAAGGUAGCGCUAGGGGAACCUGGCGCUGGAU